Molecule: unclassified non-coding RNA, 332 nt
Filed under: soil metagenome
Description: partial contains 5.8S ribosomal RNA, internal transcribed spacer 2, and large subunit ribosomal RNA
Rfam family: 5.8S ribosomal RNA (bases 1-120)
Source: RNAcentral
GAUGAAGAACGCAGUGAAAUGCGAUAAGUAAUGUGAAUUGCAGAAUUCAGUGAAUCAUCGAAUCUUUGAACGCACAUUGCGCCCCCUGGUAUUCCGGGGGGCAUGCCUGUUCGAGCGUCAUUUCACCACUUAAGCCUCGCUUGGUAUUGGGCGACGCGGUCCGCCGCGCGCCUCAAAUCGACCGGCUGGGUCUUUCGUCCCCUCAGCGUUGUGGAAACUAUUCGCUAAAGGGUGCCGCGGGAGGCCACGCCGUAAAACAACCCCAUUUCUAAGGUUGACCUCGGAUCAGGUAGGGAUACCCGCUGAACUUAAGCAUAUCAAUAAGCGGAGGA